This 210-nucleotide ribosomal RNA is filed under the name Escherichia coli. RNAcentral describes it as "partial 23S ribosomal RNA". It matches the Rfam family "Bacterial large subunit ribosomal RNA", at positions 1133 to 1342 of the family's 2925-position model. The record is from RNAcentral. Lineage: Bacteria; Pseudomonadati; Pseudomonadota; Gammaproteobacteria; Enterobacterales; Enterobacteriaceae.
CGUAAUAGCUCACUGGUCGAGUCGGCCUGCGCGGAAGAUGUAACGGGGCUAAACCAUGCACCGAAGCUGCGGCAGCGACACUAUGUGUUGUUGGGUAGGGGAGCGUUCUGUAAGCCUGUGAAGGUGUGCUGUGAGGCAUGCUGGAGGUAUCAGAAGUGCGAAUGCUGACAUAAGUAACGAUAAAGCGGGUGAAAAGCCCGCUCGCCGGAA